RNAcentral lists this ribosomal RNA (683 nucleotides) under Bacillus tequilensis. Its description in RNAcentral is "bacterial SSU rRNA". It matches the Rfam family "Bacterial small subunit ribosomal RNA", at positions 38 to 712 of the family's 1533-position model. The record is from RNAcentral. Lineage: Bacteria; Bacillati; Bacillota; Bacilli; Caryophanales; Bacillaceae.
GGGAUAGUAGCCCAAUACAUGCAAGUCGAGCGGACAGAUGGGAGCUUGCUCCCUGAUGUUAGCGGCGGACGGGUGAGUAACACGUGGGUAACCUGUGUAAGACUGGGAUAACUCCGGGAAACCGGGGCAUACCGGAUGGUUGUUUGAACCGCAUGGUUCAAACAUAAAAGGUGGCUUCGGCUACCACUCAGAUGGACCCGCGGCGCAUUAGCUAGUUGGUGAGGUAACGGCUCACCAAGGCAACGAUGCGUAGCCGACCUGAGAGGGUGAUCGGCCACACUGGGACUGAGACACGGCCCAGACUCCUACGGGAGGCAGCAGUAGGGAAUCUUCCGCAAUGGACGAAAGUCUGACGGAGCAACGCCGCGAGUGAUGAAGGUUUUCAUCGUAAAGCUCUGUUGUUAGGGAAGAACAAGUACCGUUCGAAUAGGGCGGUACCUUGACGGUACCUAACCAGAAAGCCACGGCUAACUACGUGCCAGCAGCCGCGGUAAUACGUAGGUGGCAAGCGUUGUCCGGAAUUAUUGGGCGUAAAGGGCUCGCAGGCGGUUUCUUAAGUCUGAUGUGAAAGCCCCCGGCUCAACCGGGGGAGGGUCAUUGGGAAACUGGGGAACUUGAGUGCAGAAGAGGAGAGUGGAAUUCCACGUGUAGCGGUGAAAUGCGGAGAUGUGGAGGAACACCAG